GUUGAGCUUAAAGGGUUAUGCGUAUGCUGAAAGUUUCAGUUAGUCUUGAAAUGUAACACUUUUUUUCUCUGUUUUAGGUGUUCAUGGAGAUCUAAUUAACGUUACAGGAUUAUGGGCAAGAAUCUCAAGCAUGAAAUCAUUGACCAGAGAAAGUUGGGCAGCUGUUGACAGCUUUCACAACAAAUCAAGACUAAAGAGCCGACUGAUACUAGGUCUCUGAUGCUCAGAGGACUCCCUAUCAUUCAUUUGGCGACAAACCUACAGAUUUCUACAAAGUAUGCUUUGACUCUGAUGACAUUGGAAUCCUCC
This 309-nucleotide long non-coding RNA is filed under the name Sinocyclocheilus grahami. RNAcentral describes it as "lncRNA (ENSSGRG00000026528.1)". The record is from RNAcentral. Lineage: Eukaryota; Metazoa; Chordata; Actinopteri; Cypriniformes; Cyprinidae.